Molecule: unclassified non-coding RNA, 152 nt
Filed under: Gigaspora rosea
Lineage: Eukaryota; Fungi; Glomeromycota; Glomeromycetes; Diversisporales; Gigasporaceae
Description: partial internal transcribed spacer region
Rfam family: Eukaryotic small subunit ribosomal RNA (bases 1-46)
Source: RNAcentral
AAGUCGUAACAAGGUUUCCGUAGGUGAACCUGCGGAAGGAUCAUUAAAAAAAUGAGGUAUUUUAUACCUCUUGUAUUUAAAACCCAACUCUUUAAAAUAUAAUUUUUUUUUUAAAAAAAAAAAAACUUUCAACAAUGGAUCUCUUGGCUCUC